UCGGGAAACUUUUGCAAUACACGCAAGUGUGACAAAGCAAGCCAGAGUGCUAUUCUAUAUUUGAAUAGCUUUUGUGAGAUGCAAAAAGUCUUACGAAUAAGGACUGGGCAAGACCGGUGCCAGCCGCCGCGGUAAUCCCGGCAGUCCAAGUCGCAGCCACAUUUGUUGGGUCUAAAAUAUCCGUAGCUUGUCUUUCAAGUCUUUUGUGAAAUCGGGACUCUUAAGGUUCCGGCGCGCAAAAGAUACUGUAAGACUAUGAGACCGGGAGGCGUAAGAAGUACGUAUAGGGUAACGGUAAAAUGUGUUGAUCCUAUAUGGACUACCAGUCGCGAAGGCGUCUUACGAGAACGGUUCUGACAGUGAGGGAUGAAGGCUAGGGGCGCAAAGUGG
RNAcentral lists this ribosomal RNA (390 nucleotides) under uncultured euryarchaeote. Its description in RNAcentral is "bacterial SSU rRNA". It matches the Rfam family "Archaeal small subunit ribosomal RNA", at positions 339 to 727 of the family's 1478-position model. Lineage: Archaea; Methanobacteriati; Methanobacteriota. The record is from RNAcentral.